AUAUUUUCUCGGCUGUCACGGCAUACGGCAGCCAGAUAUCAUUGUUUCUAUGGUCCACUUUUGCAUUCCUUUUCCCCCGUUCUCAUUCCUCAAGUGACAAACUAAGAGCCUUAACAUGUGCAGACGACACAGGCCCGAUAUGACAGGUAGGCUUAGUUAUGCCCUUUUCCGCAAAUAGUCGAAAGGGAGAAGCCGGAGGUGUGUGUAUAUAAAUGGGAGGAGGAUCAUAGACAAGUGACACUUCACAGUACCCAGUGGUCGGCGAAGGACAGGCUCGGAGAGUAAGCGUUCUCGGUUGCCAGGAGUUGAAGUACUUGUAAAAAGCAACCAUGUGUGACGACGAUACUUGUGCCCUCGUGUGCGACAAUGGCUCCGGCCUCUGCAAAGGCUGGUUUCGCCGGAGACGACGCC
RNAcentral lists this unclassified non-coding RNA (411 nucleotides) under Penaeus japonicus. RNAcentral's name for it is "actin-2, muscle-specific-like, transcript variant X4". Lineage: Eukaryota; Metazoa; Arthropoda; Malacostraca; Decapoda; Penaeidae. The record is from RNAcentral.